UACGUAGGAGGCAAGCGUUGUCCGGAAUUACUGGGCGUAAAGCGCGUGUAGGUGGUGGGACAGGUCUGCUGUGAAAGCGCCUGGCUUAACCGGGCGAGGUCGGCGGAAACUGUCCGACUCGAGGACGGUAGAGGGGGGUGGAAUUCCCGGUGUAGUGGUGAAAUGCGUAGAGAUCGGGAGGAACACCUGUGGCGAAGGCGGCCCCCUGGGCCGGCCCUGACACUGAGACGCGAAGGCGUGGGGAGCGAACGGG
This 253-nucleotide ribosomal RNA is filed under the name uncultured bacterium. RNAcentral's name for it is "partial 16S ribosomal RNA". It matches the Rfam family "Bacterial small subunit ribosomal RNA", at positions 524 to 776 of the family's 1533-position model. The record is from RNAcentral.